GGCAGUUCUCAGGUGAUGCACAAAGGAAUCGGGCUCCCUCCUCUCUGGUUCCGGGUGCGUCACCCGAGAACUGCA
Molecule: non-coding RNA, 75 nt
Organism: Myotis brandtii (Brandt's bat)
Lineage: Eukaryota; Metazoa; Chordata; Mammalia; Chiroptera; Vespertilionidae
Source: Rfam